This 185-nucleotide non-coding RNA is filed under the name Gallus gallus (chicken). Its description in RNAcentral is "Eukaryotic large subunit ribosomal RNA". It matches the Rfam family "Eukaryotic large subunit ribosomal RNA", at positions 2622 to 2802 of the family's 3401-position model. The record is from Rfam by way of RNAcentral. Lineage: Eukaryota; Metazoa; Chordata; Aves; Galliformes; Phasianidae.
UGUGUGGGGAGUCCCAGACUUGAACAUAAUACUCUAGAUGAGAUUUCACAAGAGCAGAGUAGAGAGGGUCAAUCUCUUGUGGAGCAGAAGGGCAAAAGCUCGCUUGAUCUUGAUUUUCAGUAUGAAUACAGACCGUGAAAGCGGGGCCUCACAAUCCUUCUGACUUCUUGGGUUUUAAGCAGGAG